CGGUUAAAUCAUGCUGAAACACAAGUUCCCAUAUGAUCACUGAAGUUAAGCAAUGUCAAGCCUGGUUAAUACCUAGCUGGGUGACCACAUAGGAAAACCAGGUGCUGUAAG
Molecule: non-coding RNA, 111 nt
Organism: Acanthosepion pharaonis
Lineage: Eukaryota; Metazoa; Mollusca; Cephalopoda; Sepiida; Sepiidae
Source: the annotation of a GenBank genome assembly